CCAUAUUGACCCUAGACGUAAGAAUUUAUAUAAUAUUACUUAGAGAAUCGGUCCCAGAAGACAUCUCGGCCCAUCGUUCGAUGAUCGGCCGUUUUCGUUUUCGAUUAGAAUCUUUUAAAUUUAAUUAAAAAGGGAACUGCGAAUGGAGAUGGAGUGGCUCCGGAGGAGAUUCCGACGGAGGAACGCGGUGGCGCCGGAGGAAGGGAGUUCCUCGGACGGCUCUGACGAGACGUUCGAGGACCCGGGGCUCGACUGCGUCUCUGCCGAAUCGAUUAGUAUGGCGUCGUUUGAGACCGUCGAGCGAGAGGCAGCGGGUGGUAACGACCUUCCCCGAGUGCGUGUGGUGUGGCACUCUCCCGGAGGCGGGAGAGUUCUGAGUCCAUUCCACUUGGCCAAGGUCGUCAGGGGUCAGUCGGCCACAGGCCUUGUUGUGGAAGAUGUAGGGAGUGAUGUCUCGUCCGAGUCUUCUUCUUGGAGUACGAUAUCGCUCCCUCUUGUCGGGAGUUCUGCCUCUUUGUCCGUGACGGGGAUGCCAUCGCUUUCCGGAAGUCCGAACGGGGAGGAAUCGGAGGAGAGUGCCGUCGGAGUCGAGGGACCGUGGUGUCUGCGGUUCUGUUGCUGAGGGUGGCUGCGGUUCCUUUGGCCUAAGCGGUGAUCCUCUUCGAUUUUUCCCAAUUCGUCCUUCUUCACUCGGAUGGGACAUUCUUACCGGAUUCGACACUUUUCACCCGGACUCGACACCUUUUCCCGGACAUGACCGUCUCUUACCAGGAUGCGACCCCACGGACUUGUCUGCCGAACGUGACACUCGGUCGACGACGACGGAUUUGACUCCCGAUUGUGACGACGCAGACGUGACACAAUCGGGUUUUUUUUCACCGGACGCGACAUUCGGCCGACCUUUCUUCCUAAACAGGCAUUAUGAGGAUUGAGCUUUCGGUUAGGUUAGGUUAGGCUAGGUUAAGUCCUUUGCUCUUCUCAUGACACUGUUCGGGAAAAAAGAUUGUCUGAUAAAGGUAGUUAUGUUGACCUUAGAUAAUAAAUGAAUGAACUUCUCGCUUUCUCACUGUCUUUGUGUUUUGUAGGAACAUUUGGGAGGGAGAAUCUCCCUCCCCAAGUUUACCACGAAGAGGAUGACUUGGCCAUUCAUCAUACAAGUGAAUAUUUUCCGAAAUUUCCGAUAACAUGCCGAAGAUGUUCUUGGACAUCACACAAAUAUAUACACACACACACGGACAUAACAUCAUUGUACAUGAAGGUAUAUACACCGUUUAAUCUUUACUCGAAUUCUCGCACUCACGCACUUACACGUCAAGCGCCUGGUUCUCUGUAAUUCGACACAAUGAAACAACCCGAACACUCGCUUCCCACAAAUCCAACCCCUGGGUCCUCGUCCCGGAAAGUGGAAACGCCAAUUUUAAAGACUAAAAGCUUUAAAUUGGCGGCCGAAGGGGCUGUGGUAAUCACAAUUUGCAUCGAUCAAGAAACAAAAUUUUUUCCAUAAAAAGCGAUGUCUAAGAAAUUUUGAUGUGGAUCUCAUUAAAACUUACAUUUAAGAGAAUAAAAAUUUUGGAACUUGACUGUUGUAAAUAAAUUGAGUUGUCGUUUGAGAAGGAAUACGUGGAAUGCCAUUUGUUGGAACUACUGUUAAAAAGAACAGAUUCAGAAGUAAAUUUUGAUAAACAAUCACUUUUCGACGAAUUUGUUUCGCUCAUUUCAGACUUUUUCUUGUGCAGAUGUUCUGCCUGUAUAAUUUCAUUCACAUCCACAGAGGGUUGUAACUAAAAUGUAAAAUUAUAUCAUAGUUUUUUUUUGUUAAUUGUAAUAUAUAAUAUUUCACAGUAAAAUGAUACGUGUCUCAAUUUUAUUUUGAUGUCUCGAUAUUCUCCCAAAUUUAAAUUUGUCAAUAAAUUUGAAUGAACGCAAGGCUCAUUUACAUCAGAAAUGCCGGUGAAAACGACGUGCAGACUGACAAAAGUUGGUACGAAGUGGUUGU
Long non-coding RNA from Centruroides sculpturatus (bark scorpion), 1996 nucleotides. RefSeq lists it as uncharacterized. The record is from RefSeq and is a predicted model, not a curated record. The transcript is spliced from 4 exons. Lineage: Eukaryota; Metazoa; Arthropoda; Arachnida; Scorpiones; Buthidae.